This 447-nucleotide ribosomal RNA is filed under the name uncultured bacterium. RNAcentral describes it as "bacterial SSU rRNA". It matches the Rfam family "Bacterial small subunit ribosomal RNA", at positions 330 to 793 of the family's 1533-position model. The record is from RNAcentral.
CCCAGACUCCUACGGGAGGCAGCAGUGGGGAAUAUUGCACAAUGGGGGAAACCCUGAUGCAGCAACGCCGCGUGGGUGAAGGAGCGUUUCGGCGCGUAAAGCCCUGUCAGCGGGGAAGAAGAAAGACGGUACCCGACCAAGAAGCCCCGGCUAACUACGUGCCAGCAGCCGCGGUAAUACGUAGGGGGCAAGCGUUAUCCGGAUUUACUGGGUGUAAAGGGAGCGUAGACGGCGACGCAAGUCUGAAGUGAAAUGCCAGUGCUCAACACUGGAACUGCUUUGGAAACUGUGUAGCUAGAGUGCAGGAGAGGUAAGUGGAAUUCCUAGUGUAGCGGUGAAAUGCGUAGAUAUUAGGAGGAACACCAGUGGCGAAGGCGGCUUACUGGACUGUAACUGACGUUGAGGCUCGAAGGCGUGGGGAGCAAACAGGAUUAGAUACCCGCGUAU